CACAAACCCUAGCACAAACACAAGUCACAAGGCUCCUCACCUGGCCUCAGCCCUCGGUGUCCCCCAAACUGGCCUAACUGGUGGCGCCUGAGCCAGGACAGCUGAAUGACCAGCCGGGGCCCCGGAACCAGGGGUGGGAUCAAGAAGAGAGACAGGUGCACGGCGAUCAUCAGUACAGGCACAGCUUUGUCCACCCAGGACUCCUGCCACUGGGUCCCUGAAUGUUCCUCCCUGAGCGGGCAAUGAGAGAGUAAGCCCCCACUUUCCUCCUUCUUCCUGCUGCUUUUGCCACCGCCUCCCACUUCUUGAUAAGAAUCUGAGUGAAGCGCCUGCCAGGACACGGCUGGAUCUCUUAAAACACAAGGGGAAAUGUUUAUGUUUCCUCUCCACCCUGCCGGGUCACCUCCUCCAGGGUACUGCCAGCCAAGGGCACUGCCUGGUGAGACGAAUCAGGACUUGCUCAGUUCACAGGGUCUGCAGCUUAGAGAGGGAGCUGCGGCUGUUGCUAAGUCGCUUAGGUCGUGUCCGACUCUGUGCGACCCUGUAGACGGAAGCCCACCAGGCUCCCCUGUCCCUGGGAUUCUCCAGGUAAGAACACUGGAGUGGGCUGCCAUUUCCUUCUCCAAUGUGUGAAAGUGAAAAGUGAAAGUGAAGUCGCUCAGUCGUGUCCGACUCUGUGCGACCCCAUAGACGGAAGCCCACCAGACUCCUCUGUCCGUGGGAUUUUCCAGGCAAGAGUACUGGAGUGGGGUGCCAUUGCCUUCUCCGUAGGGAGGGAGAGCUCCCUUCAAAACAGAGAAUUUCUCUGGAGGGCCGGUGGGACAGGAACCAUCUAACAUCAAGGCUGGUUUAUGAGAGUGACAAAAAUUUGGAAUCUGGGGAUGGGCAAGGAGUGGAAACAGCUGUCAAAAUUCCUGAGUCCCAAAGCCAUGGCCCAGUGACUCCAAAUGCCACUAGCCAUUCUGGGCAGAGAUAGUCUCCAAACUGAGUGCUCCUUGUUCAAGGGCCUCUGUGCUCUUAGGUCCCAGACCACAUAGCUAAGGGACUAAUAGCAGGCUGUGUCUGCUGAAGAGAAUCAUGAAGGUGAAAGGAGGCCCACAAAAUUCUGGAGAAUCAUUUCCUGCUU
This is a long non-coding RNA of Bos indicus x Bos taurus (hybrid cattle), 1126 nucleotides long. Lineage: Eukaryota; Metazoa; Chordata; Mammalia; Artiodactyla; Bovidae. The record is from Ensembl.